AGGCUAAUUGAGGUCCCAGAUUGCCAUCACAUCAUAUGUACAAACAAGGCUAAUUGAGGUCCCAGAUUGCCAUCACAUCAUAUGUACAAACAAGGCUAAUUGAGGUCCCAGAUUGCCAUCACAUCAUAUGUACAAACAAGGCUAAUUGAGGUCCCAGAUUGCCAUCACAUCAUAUCUACAAACAUGGCUAAUUGAGAUCCCAGAUUGCCAUCACAUCAUAUGUACAAACAAGGCUAAUUGAGGUCCCAGAUUGCCAUCACAUCAUAUGUACAAACAAGGCUAAUUGAGGUCCCAGAUUGCCUUCACAUCAUAUGUACAAACAAGGCUAAUUGAGGUCCCAGAUUGCCAUCACAUCAUAUGUACAAACAAGGCUAAUUGAGGUCCCAGAUUGCCAUCACAUCAUAUCUACAAACAAGGCUAAUUGAGGUCCCAGAUUGCCAUCACAUCAUAUCUACAAACAAGGCUAAUUGAGGUCCCAAAUUGCCAUCACAUCAUAUGUACAAACAAGGCUAAUUGAGGUCCCAGAUUGCCAUCACAUCAUAUGUACAAACAAGGCUAAUUGAGGCCCCAGAUUGCCAUAACAUCAUAUGUACAAACAAGGCUAAUUGAGGUCCCAGAUUGCCAUCACAUCAUAUGUACAAACAAGGCUAAUUGAGGUCCCAGAUUGCCAUAACAUCAUAUCUAUAAACAAGGCUAAUUGAGGUCCCAGAUUGCCAUCACAUCAUAUGUACAAACAAGGCUAAUUGAGGUCUCAGAUUGCCAUCACAUCAUAUGUACAAACAAGGCUAAUUGAGGUCCCAGAUUGCCAUCACAUCAUAUGUACAAACAAGGCUAAUUGAGUCUCGCUCUUGGAGGGUGUAAUACAUGUGCGGGGACGAGUUUUGUCACAGAUCAGCCAGUGCAGUCCUCACAGGCUUAUCAGGAAGGACACUUUCUGCUUUUAUAGAUUUCUUCAUUUAUAGGAAGUCUCUUCUUAAUGAAGGUCCAGUUUAGGCUGAAAGUCAUGUCCUUGAUUAGUUUGUAUGGACUGCUCAUUCUAAUCUGGCACGACACUUAACCAAUAGCCACUUAGAUAAUCUUUUUAAGCAUUUGUAGUCCCUUAGAAAGUUUCAUUUAUAAAAAGGCUCAGUUUUAAAUUCCUUUCUGGCUUCCA
Molecule: long non-coding RNA, 1153 nt
Organism: Dreissena polymorpha
Lineage: Eukaryota; Metazoa; Mollusca; Bivalvia; Myida; Dreissenidae
Exons: 3
Source: RefSeq, a predicted model, not a curated record